This 25-nucleotide unclassified non-coding RNA is filed under the name Mus musculus (house mouse). RNAcentral describes it as "oocyte_clustered_small_RNA433". The record is from RNAcentral. Lineage: Eukaryota; Metazoa; Chordata; Mammalia; Rodentia; Muridae.
UUCCUCAGAGUGAAAGGCUUGAAAA